UUCCCUGUAGCUCAGAUGGUAAAGAAUCUGCCUGCAAUGCAGAAAGAUCCCUGGGUUUGAUCCCUGGUUGGGAAG
RNAcentral lists this transfer RNA (75 nucleotides) under Bos taurus (domestic cattle). It matches the Rfam family "tRNA". Rfam says of the family: Transfer RNA (tRNA) molecules are approximately 80 nucleotides in length. Their secondary structure includes four short double-helical elements and three loops (D, anti-codon, and T loops). Lineage: Eukaryota; Metazoa; Chordata; Mammalia; Artiodactyla; Bovidae. RNAcentral also lists the same sequence under 1 other name. The record is from Rfam by way of RNAcentral.